This 596-nucleotide ribosomal RNA is filed under the name uncultured bacterium. Its description in RNAcentral is "bacterial SSU rRNA". It matches the Rfam family "Bacterial small subunit ribosomal RNA", at positions 94 to 756 of the family's 1533-position model. The record is from RNAcentral.
ACCGGCGCACGGGUGCGUAACGCGUAUCCAACCUGCCCCCAACUCCGGAAUAGUCCCCCGAAAGGGGGGUUAACGCCGGAUGGUUGGGGCUGGGGAUGCGUCCCAUUAGGUAGUAGGCGGGGUAACGGCCCACCUAGCCGACGAUGGGUAGGGGUUCUGAGAGGAAGGUCCCCCACAUUGGAACUGAGACACGGUCCAAACUCCUACGGGAGGCAGCAGUGAGGAAUAUUGGUCAAUGGGCGAGAGCCUGAACCAGCCAAGUAGCGUGUGGGAAGAAUGCCUAUGGGUUGUAAACCACUUUUGCAGGAGGGUAAGUAUCCUGCGAAUAAGGACCGGCUAAUUCCGUGCCAGCAGCCGCGGUAAUACGGAAGGUCCAGGCGUUAUCCGGAUUUAUUGGGUUUAAAGGGAGCGUAGGCGGGGAGUCAAGUCAGUUGUGAAAAGCCACGGCCCAACCGUGGUCGUGCAGUUGAAACUGGUUCUCUUGAGUGCGCACGAGGACGGUGGAAUUCGUGGUGUAGCGGUGAAAUGCUUAGAUAUCACGAAGAACUCCGAUUGCGAAGGCAGCCGUCCGGAGCGUUACUGACGCUGAGGCUCGA